Molecule: ribosomal RNA, 166 nt
Filed under: Buchnera glabrata
Lineage: Eukaryota; Viridiplantae; Streptophyta; Magnoliopsida; Lamiales; Orobanchaceae
Description: 5.8S ribosomal RNA
Rfam family: 5.8S ribosomal RNA
About the family: 5.8S ribosomal RNA (5.8S rRNA) is a component of the large subunit of the eukaryotic ribosome.
Source: RNAcentral
CUAAAUGACUCUCGGCAACGGAUAUCUCGGCUCUCGCAUCGAUGAAGAACGUAGCGAAAUGCGAUACUUGGUGUGAAUUGCAGAAUCCCGUGAACCAUCGAGUCUUUGAACGCAAGUUGCGCCCGAAGCCUCACGGUCAAGGGCACGCCUGCCUGGGCGUCACGCA